GGAUUAGAUACCCUGGUAGUCCACGCUGUAAACGAUGAGAACUAGACGUUGGGCGGAUAACCGCUCGGUGUCGCAGCUAACGCAUUAAGUUCUCCGCCUGGGGAGUACGGCCGCAAGGCUGAAACUCAAAGGAAUUGACGGGGGCCCGCACAAGCGGUGGAGCAUGUGGUUUAAUUCGAUGCAACGCGAAGAACCUUACCUGCCCUUGACAUCCUGGGAAGGUCCUAGAGAUAGGACUGUGCCUUCGGGAACCCAGUGACAGGUGCUGCAUGGCUGUCGUCAGCUCGUGCUG
Molecule: ribosomal RNA, 292 nt
Filed under: uncultured bacterium
Lineage: Bacteria
Description: partial 16S ribosomal RNA
Rfam family: Bacterial small subunit ribosomal RNA
Source: RNAcentral